Molecule: ribosomal RNA, 639 nt
Filed under: uncultured eukaryote
Lineage: Eukaryota
Description: SSU rRNA
Rfam family: Eukaryotic small subunit ribosomal RNA
Source: RNAcentral
GUUAAAACGCUCGUAGUCGGAUUUCGGGGCCUGCCUGCCGGUCUGCCGAUGGGUAUGCACUGGCAGGCGCGUCCUUCCUUCCGGAGACUGUCCCUACUCUUAACUGAGCGGGGUCGGGAGACGGAUCGAUUACUUUGAAAAAAUCAGAGUGUUUCAAGCAGGCAGCUCGCUCUUGCAUGGAUUAGCAUGGAAUAAUGAAAUAGGACUUUGGUGCUAUUUUGUUGGUUUCGAACACCGAAGUAAUGAUUAACAGGGACAGUCAGGGGCACUCGUAUUCCGCCGAGAGAGGUGAAAUUCUCAGACCAGCGGAAGACGAACCACUGCGAAAGCAUUUGCCAGGGAUGUUUUCACUGAUCAAGAACGAAAGUUAGGGGAUCGAAGACGAUCAGAUACCGUCGUAGUCUUAACCAUAAACCAUGCCGACUAGGGAUUGGAGGAUGUCCAUUUUUGACUCCUUCAGCACCUUACGGGAAACUAAAGUCUUUGGGUUCCGGGGGGAGUAUGGUCGCAAGGCUGAAACUUAAAGGAAUUGACGGAAGGGCACCACCAGGAGUGGAGCCUGCGGCUUAAUUUGACUCAACGCGGGGAAACUUACCAGGUCCAGACAUUGUGAGGAUUGACAGAUUGAGAGCUCUUUCU